Molecule: small RNA, 83 nt
Filed under: Arabidopsis thaliana (thale cress)
Lineage: Eukaryota; Viridiplantae; Streptophyta; Magnoliopsida; Brassicales; Brassicaceae
Description: ATSL099550
Source: RNAcentral
CUUUUUUACAUAGAUUACUAGAUUCUGACCCGCACGUUCGUGCGAGAUUUCAUAUUUUAAGAAAUGUGUUGUAUAAAAUUUAU